CAGAAAACCCUCAUACAUUCCUUUCUUAAGAGUAUUCAGACUGCAUUCGAGCAACCUGGAGAGACAGCUCAGGUCAACUCAAUACCUGUGGCUGCCACUCACCUUUCCUAUAGGA
This is a small nucleolar RNA of Cavia porcellus (domestic guinea pig), 115 nucleotides long. The record is from Ensembl. NCBI's taxonomy places the organism in Eukaryota, Metazoa, Chordata, Mammalia, Rodentia, Caviidae.